ACGCUGGCGGCGUGCUUAACACAUGCAAGUCGAACGCUGAAGCCUAGCUUGCUGGGUGGAUGAGUGGCGAACGGGUGAGUAACACGUGAGUAACCUGCCCUCUUCUUUGGGAUAACGCCCGGAAACGGGUGCUAAUACUGGAUAUUCACUGGCCUUCGCAUGGGGGUUGGUGGAAAGGUUUUUUCUGGUGGGGGAUGGGCUCGCGGCCUAUCAGCUUGUUGGUGGGGUGAUGGCCUACCAAGGCUUUGACGGGUAGCCGGCCUGAGAGGGUGACCGGUCACAUUGGGACUGAGAUACGGCCCAGACUCCUACGGGAGGCAGCAGUGGGGAAUAUUGCACAAUGGGCGAAAGCCUGAUGCAGCGACGCCGCGUGAGGGAUGGAGGCCUUCGGGUUGUAAACCUCUUUCGCUCAUGGUCAAGCCGCAACUUGGGUUGUGGUGAGGGUAGUGGGUAAAGAAGCGCCGGCUAACUACGUGCCAGCAGCCGCGGUAAUACGUAGGGCGCGAGCGUUGUCCGGAAUUAUCGGGCGUAAAGGGCUUGUAGGCGGUUGGUCGCGUCUGCCGUGAAAUCCUCUGGCUUAACUGGGGGCGUGCGGUGGGUACGGGCUGACUUGAGUGCGGUAGGGGAGACUGGAACUCCUGGUGUAGCGGUGGAAUGCGCAGAUAUCAGGAAGAACACCGGUGGCGAAGGCGGGUCUCUGGGCCGUUACUGACGCUGAGGAGCGAAAGCGUGGGGAGCGAACAGGAUUAGAUACCCUGGUAGUCCACGCUGUAAACGUUGGGCACUAGGUGUGGGGGCCACCCGUGGUUUCUGCGCCGUAGCUAACGCUUUAAGUGCCCCGCCUGGGGAGUACGGCCGCAAGGCUAAAACUCAAAGGAAUUGACGGGGGCCCGCACAAGCGGCGGAGCA
Molecule: ribosomal RNA, 909 nt
Filed under: uncultured bacterium
Lineage: Bacteria
Description: bacterial SSU rRNA
Rfam family: Bacterial small subunit ribosomal RNA
Source: RNAcentral